RNAcentral lists this small nuclear RNA (102 nucleotides) under Cricetulus griseus (Chinese hamster). Lineage: Eukaryota; Metazoa; Chordata; Mammalia; Rodentia; Cricetidae. The record is from RNAcentral.
AAAAAUAUGGAAUGCUUCACAAAUUUUUGUGUCAUCCUUGAACAGGGGCCAUGCUAAUCUCUAUCAUUCUAAUUUUAGUAUAUGUGCUGCCAAAGUGAGCAU